RNAcentral lists this ribosomal RNA (450 nucleotides) under uncultured bacterium. RNAcentral describes it as "partial 16S ribosomal RNA". It matches the Rfam family "Bacterial small subunit ribosomal RNA", at positions 354 to 796 of the family's 1533-position model. The record is from RNAcentral.
GUGGGGAAUCUUCCGCAAUGGACGAAAGUCUGACGGAGCAACGCCGCGUGAACGAUGACGGCCUUCGGGUUGUAAAGUUCUGUUAUACGGGACGAAUGGUACGACGGCCAAUACCCGUCGUAAGUGACGGUACCGUAGGAGAAAGCCACGGCUAACUACGUGCCAGCAGCCGCGGUAAUACGUAGGUGGCAAGCGUUGUCCGGAAUUAUUGGGCGUAAAGGGCGCGCAGGCGGCGUCGUAAGUCGGUCUUAAAAGUGCGGGGCUUAACCCCGUGAGGGGACCGAAACUGCGAUGCUAGAGUAUCGGAGAGGAAAGCGGAAUUCCUAGUGUAGCGGUGAAAUGCGUAGAUAUUAGGAGGAACACCAGUGGCGAAAGCGGCUUUCUGGACGACAACUGACGCUGAGGCGCGAAAGCCAGGGGAGCAAACGGGAUUAGAAACCCUUGUAGUCC